RNAcentral lists this long non-coding RNA (1368 nucleotides) under Homo sapiens (human). RNAcentral's name for it is "HSALNT0285244". The record is from RNAcentral. Lineage: Eukaryota; Metazoa; Chordata; Mammalia; Primates; Hominidae.
GUAAAGUUCUCCUCGUGAGAUGAUGCUUGGGGAGCCAAAAACAAACUGGAAAGAACUAGGUAAAACAAGUUUAGUGGCUCUGCCCACCCUGAGGACAGAGCCACUUACACCGCAGAACCACCAGGGGCCUCGGGCACUUGUGGGGAUUCGGGAGCUGGGUCUUCAACAGGGUGUUCUCACGCUCUAGCUGGGAGUUCUUCUCCACCAGCUCUCGGAUCUGCUCCUUCAGGAUCUCCACCUCCUCUCUCACAGCAUACAUCAGAUGAUUCUUCACCAGAUCCUGCCAAUGAGGGAAUCAUAACAAAGCCAUUCCUUAGCCAUCGUGGCCCCUCUGCAGCACCUUUGCUCUGUCAUUGGUGUGCCUGUGCUGUCCUUAAUGCCAGGGCCCUCCAGCCUUCCCUCAGUGAACUGGUCUGGCAAGUCCAAUUCCUCGUUCACCUUUCUCUGAAGCACUUAAACCCUCAUUCAGGAGAGCUACAUGAUUUGGCUUAUGCUGGAGUUGAGAGCCCAGCUUUGAACUAGAUAGGUUCUCCCCUGCAAGUUUCUAAUGACUUUCAAAGCUGGCUGCUGAGGGGCCUUUGGGGUGACACUUCUGCUGUUUGCCAGUGGUUUGCUAUGUCCCCCUUUUUACAUAAGCCCCUACUGCUGCCGAUCCAGAUCUGGGGGAAGGGUAGACCUGCAAUGCAUCCCAUACUGUUUGUCUGCUGUACAAAUCUUAACCAAGAGAAUAAAAUUGGCUAUUUUAGAGUCUCCUCCCCUCCAUAUGACCCAGCACAUUGAAUUGCAGCUGUCCUGCAGCCGGCCAGUUAGCACACAGGACAUUGGCCUUGGGGAAAGGUACAGAACUGCCGCAUCCUCUCUGAAUUUGAUGACUGCACUGGGGGCAGGGAAGGUGUCCUUAAGCUCCAGGGCACAAUUAAGUGGCUCCCAACCGCUGAAGCCCUAACCCUCUGCAGCCAUUGUGGCUGCUCCUUGGAGUAUGACCUCUACCUGGUAAGGAGAGGGACAGGGGUGGGGUGCUUCGCUUCCUGUUUCCACCCAACUCCUGACCCCAGUCCAGGCUCUGCAGAGGCACUGCAGUGCUGUUGCAUCCAAUGAGCUCAGCCCCUUGCCAGCUGCACGAUGCACACAAAUGCAAGAGUCUGAGCUCCCUGCCCAACAACAGGCCCAGGAGAGAGUCAGAGCCUGCGGCAAAGACCUGAGAUGGAGGAGGGAGGAAGAAAGGAGGGAGCCCAGGAAGGGAAGACUGGAAAUGCCCUAAAAGGUGCCACUCUAAUCAGACUCCACCUCCAGUGCGGAUAGGAGGCAGGCUGUCGGCUUCCUCAGGGUUUUGGCUAAGGGCUUUUUCACCCAUUCCCUCAAUCCUGC